This is a non-coding RNA of Odocoileus virginianus texanus, 1059 nucleotides long. The record is from RefSeq and is a predicted model, not a curated record. NCBI's taxonomy places the organism in Eukaryota, Metazoa, Chordata, Mammalia, Artiodactyla, Cervidae.
UCUGAGCCGAGUGCGGUGCCAGCGCAGCGAGCUCUGUAGGCGGCGGCGGCCUGAGCUUCGAGGCAGCCCGCUUCCCUCCUCCCAGUUGCUUCGCUUCCCUUCCCCGCGGUCAGUAUGGAAGCCUUCAGUCCAGUGAGGUCCGUUAGGAAAAGCAGCCUUUCAGACCACGGCCUGGGCGUCUCCCGGAGCCAAACCCCGGCGGACGACCCGAUGAGCCUGCUGGACAACAUGAACGACUGCUACUCCAAGCUCAAGGAGCUGGUGCCCAGUAUCCCGCAAAACAAGAAGGUGAGCAAGAUGGAAAUCCUGCAGCACGUCAUCGACUACAUCUUGGACUUGCAGAUCGUGCUGGACUCGCACCCCAUCGUCAGCCUGCACCACCAGCGACCCAGACAGAGCCAGGCGUCCAGGACGCCGCUCACCACCCUCAACACCGACAUCAGCAUCCUGUCCUUGCAGGCUUCUGAAUUCCCUUCUGAGUUAAUGUCAAAUGACAGCAAAGCGCUCUGUGGCUGAAUAAAUGGUGUUCAUGACUUUUUUUUCCCCUUUGCACAACAACAACAACAAAUCCACAGGCUCUUUUAAGGCGCUGAACUUAUUUUUCAACCAUUCACAAGGAGGACAACAAGUCAAAUGGACCUUUAAAAAAAAUGGAAGGAAAACUUAAGAAUGAUCAACUUCCCCAGGGUGUUUUCUGACCUGGACUGUGAUAUUAGUUAUUUAUGAAAAAGACUUUUAAAUGCCCUUUCUGCAGUUGGAAGGUUUUCUUUAUAUACUAUUCCCACCAUGGGGAGCGAAAACAUUAAAAUCACAAGGAAUUGCCCAAUUUAAGCAGACUUUGCCUUUUUUCAAAGGUGGAGCGUGAAUACCAGAAGGAUCCAGUAUUCAGUUACUUAAAUGAAGUCUUUUGGUCAGAAAUUACCUUUUUGACUCAAGCCUACUGAAUACUGUGUACAUAUUUAUAUAUAAAUAUAUAUAUAUUGAGUGAAACCUUGUGAACUCUUAGAGUUUUCUUGUAUAGUGGCAGAAAUGUACAUUUCUGCAUAUAAAGUGUAAUGA